Molecule: long non-coding RNA, 2772 nt
Organism: Pygocentrus nattereri (red-bellied piranha)
Lineage: Eukaryota; Metazoa; Chordata; Actinopteri; Characiformes; Serrasalmidae
Source: Ensembl
AUGUUUUCAGGCUGCAGUUCUCGUUCAGUGUCUCACACGCACUCACACACAUACACGCACUCACACACACAUUCACACACACACAUACUCACACGCACUCACACACAUACACGCACUCACACACACAUUCACACACACACAUACUCACACGCACUCACACACAUACACGCACUCACACACACAUUCACACACACACAUACUCACACGCACUCACACACAUACACGCACUCACACACACAUUCACACACACACAUACUCACACGCACUCACACACAUACACGCACUCACACACACAUUCACACACACACACAUACUCACACACACACACAGUCACACAUACACACACACACAUACACACGCACUCACACACACAUUCACACACACACAUACUCACACGCACUCACACACAUACACACGCACACACACACAUUCCCACACACACACAUACUCACACGCACUCACACACAUACACGCACUCACACACACAUUCACACACACACAUACUCACACGCACUCACACACAUACACGCACUCACACACACAUUCACACACACACAUACUCACACGCACUCACACACAUACACGCACUCACACACACAUUCACACACACACAUACUCACACGCACUCACACACAUACACGCACUCACACACACAUUCACACACACACAUACUCACACGCACUCACACACAUACACGCACUCACACACACAUUCACACACACACAUACUCACACGCACUCACACACAUACACGCACUCACACACACAUUCACACACACACAUACUCACACGCACUCACACACAUACACGCACUCACACACACAUUCACACACACACAUACUCACACGCACUCACACACAUACACGCACUCACACACACAUUCACACACACACAUACUCACACGCACUCACACACAUACACGCACUCACACACACAUUCACACACACACAUACUCACACGCACUCACACACAUACACGCACUCACACACACAUUCACACACACACAUACUCACACACACACAUUCACACAUACACACGCACACACACACAUUCACACACACACAUACACACACGCACUCACACACGCACACACACACAUUCACACACACACACAUACUCACACGCACUCACACACAUACACACGCACACACACACAUUCACACACACACAUACACGCACUCACACACAUACACGCGCACACACACACAUUCACACACACACAUACACACGCACUCACACACACACAUUCACACAGUCACACUUACUCACACACAUACACACGCACACACACACAUUCACACACAUACACACACGCACUCACGCACACACACACAUUCACACACACAUUCUCACACGCACUCACACACAUACACGCACUCACACACACAUUCACACACACACACUCACACGCACUCACACACAUACACGCACUCACACACACAUUCACACACACACAUACUCACACGCACUCACACACAUACACGCACUCACACACACAUUCACACACACACAUACUCACACGCACUCACACACAUACACGCACUCACACACACAUUCACACACACACAUACUCACACGCACUCACACACAUACACGCACUCACACACACAUUCACACACACACAUACUCACACGCACUCACACACAUACACGCACUCACACACACAUUCACACACACACAGACACACACGCACUCACACACAUACACACACACACACACACAUUCACACACACACAUACUCACACGCACUCACACACAUACACGCACUCACACACACAUUCACACACACACAUACUCACACACACACACAUUCACACAGUCACACAUACACACGCACACACACACAUUCACACACACACAUACACACACGCACUCACACACGCACACACACACAUUCACACACACACACAUACUCACACGCACUCACACACAUACACACGCACACACACACAUUCACACACACACAUACUCACACGCACUCACACACAUACACGCGCACACACACACAUUCACACACACACAUACUCACGCACUCACACACACACAUUCACACAGUCACACAUACUCACACACAUACACACGCACACACACACAUUCACACACACACAUACACACACGCACUCACGCACACACACACAUUCACACACACAUUCUCACACGCACUCACACACAUACACACGCACACACACACAUUCACACACACACAUACUCACACGCACUCACACACACACACACAUUCACAGUCACACAUACUCACACCCACUCACACACACUCACACAUACUCAAACCCACUCACACACACACACACUCACACAUACUCACACUCACUCACAUACACACACACUCACACAUACUCACACUCACACCCACACUCACACAUACUCACACCCACUCACACACACUCACACAUACUCAAACCCACUCACACACACACACACUCACACAUACUCACACUCACUCACAUACACACACACUCACACAUACUCACACUCACACCCACACUCACACAUACUCACACCCACUCACACAUACACACACUCACACAUACACGCACUCACACACACACACUCACACAUACUCACACGCACUCACACACACACAGUCACACAUACUCUCACACACACACACAUACUCACACACACACACUCACACAUACACGCACUCACACACACUCACACAUACUCACACACACAUACUCACACGCACUCACACACACAGUCACACAUACUCACACACACUCAACACACGCGUGCACACACACACAAACAAUAA